AGCACACUCUGUGUACAGACAUAAGGAGACACAGAUCAUCUGGUUGCUUAAUGGCUCUCCCCUAUUUAUAAAUGGUCUUUUCCAUUAUUCUUUCAGAUCCACACCUUGACAAAUAUCUUUUCUGUCCAAAUUAGUGGGACUUUUCAUUUAGCAAAGUGCUACCAGCGUGUCUCAAUCUAGCCACAACUAAGAGGUACCCCAGGACUGAGAACUGUGUGGGACAACAUCUGAAAGCACCAAGUGCCAAUAUUUCUGGAGGUCAGCACUGCCAAGAGAUGCUGGGAACACCAGGACAAGCCAGAGAUACUACGAAAACAGUGGAUUGGGCAGUCCCUGGAAAGGCUCACCUUCUCUCUGUUCGUCUGGUUUUGGAUUUUUAUGAAGAGUUGCAAAAGCCGAAGGAGAGAACCCGAUUUUCUGUCCGUGAUGGGAAAUCUCCAGGACUAUUCCACACAGCACAGAGCACCUGGAACUGCUUUUAGGACCAUGUAAAAAAAAUGCCCUAGAGAUUUAUUGCUGAGUCGUGGUACCCAGUAAGAAAUUAAAAAUAGUAGCAAGUCCCAGAGUUUACACAGAACGGCUACUUCAAACCC
Molecule: non-coding RNA, 593 nt
Organism: Taeniopygia guttata (zebra finch)
Lineage: Eukaryota; Metazoa; Chordata; Aves; Passeriformes; Estrildidae
Source: RefSeq, a predicted model, not a curated record